RNAcentral lists this ribosomal RNA (355 nucleotides) under uncultured bacterium. RNAcentral describes it as "bacterial SSU rRNA". It matches the Rfam family "Bacterial small subunit ribosomal RNA", at positions 1 to 334 of the family's 1533-position model. The record is from RNAcentral.
CUAGCGACUUCAGAGUUUGAUCCUGGCUCAGGACGAACGCUGGCGGCGUGCUUAACACAUGCAAGUCGAACGGAGUUCCUCGGAUCAAGGCUUCGGCCAAGUGAACUGGAACUUAGUGGCGGACUGGUGAGUAACGCGUGAGGAACCUGCCUUUCAGAGGGGGACAACAGUUGGAAACGACUGCUAAUACCGCAUGACGCAUUCGGGUCGCAUGGCCUGAAUGCCAAAGAUUUUAUCGCUGAAAGAUGGCCUCGCGUCUGAUUAGCUAGUUGGUGAGGUAACGGCCCACCAAGGCGACGAUCAGUAGCCGGACUGAGAGGUUGACCGGCCACAUUGGGACUGAGAUACGGCCCAG